AAAUUGAAGAGUUUGAUCAUGGCUCAGAUUGAACGCUGGCGGCAGGCCUAACACAUGCAAGUCGAGCGGUAGCACAGAAGAGCUUGCUCUUCGGGUGACGAGCGGCGGACGGGUGAGUAAUGUCUGGGAAACUGCCUGAUGGAGGGGGAUAACUACUGGAAACGGUAGCUAAUACCGCAUAACGUCUUCGGACCAAAGAGGGGGACCUUCGGGCCUCUUGCCAUCGGAUGUGCCCAGAUGGGAUUAGCUAGUAGGUGAGGUAAUGGCUCACCUAGGCGACGAUCCCUAGCUGGUCUGAGAGGAUGACCAGCCACACUGGAACUGAGACACGGUCCAGACUCCUACGGGAGGCAGCAGUGGGGAAUAUUGCACAAUGGGCGCAAGCCUGAUGCAGCCAUGCCGCGUGUGUGAAGAAGGCCUUCGGGUUGUAAAGCACUUUCAGCGGGGAGGAAGGCGAUAAGGUUAAUAACCUUGUCGAUUGACGUUACCCGCAGAAGAAGCACCGGCUAACUCCGUGCCAGCAGCCGCGGUAAUACGGAGGGUGCAAGCGUUAAUCGGAAUGACUGGGCGUAAAGCGCACGCAGGCGGUCUGUUAAGUUGGAUGUGAAAUCCCCGGGCUUAACCUGGGAACUGCAUUCAAAACUGACAGGCUAGAGUCUUGUAGAGGGGGGUAGAAUUCCAGGUGUAGCGGUGAAAUGCGUAGAGAUCUGGAGGAAUACCGGUGGCGAAGGCGGCCCCCUGGACAAAGACUGACGCUCAGGUGCGAAAGCGUGGGGAGCAAACAGGAUUAGAUACCCUGGUAGUCCACGCUGUAAACGAUGUCGACUUGGAGGUUGUGCCCUUGAGGCGUGGCUUCCGGAGCUAACGCGUUAAGUCGACCGCCUGGGGAGUACGGCCGCAAGGUUAAAACUCAAAUGAAUUGACGGGGGCCCGCACAAGCGGUGGAGCAUGUGGUUUAAUUCGAUGCAACGCGAAGAACCUUACCUACUCUUGACAUCCACAGAAUUUGGUAGAGAUACCUUAGUGCCUUCGGGAACUGUGAGACAGGUGCUGCAUGGCUGUCGUCAGCUCGUGUUGUGAAAUGUUGGGUUAAGUCCCGCAACGAGCGCAACCCUUAUCCUUUGUUGCCAGCGAGUAAUGUCGGGAACUCAAAGGAGACUGCCGGUGAUAAACCGGAGGAAGGUGGGGAUGACGUCAAGUCAUCAUGGCCCUUACGAGUAGGGCUACACACGUGCUACAAUGGCGUAUACAAAGAGAAGCGAACUCGCGAGAGCAAGCGGACCUCAUAAAGUACGUCGUAGUCCGGAUUGGAGUCUGCAACUCGACUCCAUGAAGUCGGAAUCGCUAGUAAUCGUAGAUCAGAAUGCUACGGUGAAUACGUUCCCGGGCCUUGUACACACCGCCCGUCACACCAUGGGAGUGGGUUGCAAAAGAAGUAGGUAGCUUAACCUUCGGGAGGGCGCUUACCACUUUGUGAUUCAUGACUGGGGUGAAGUCGUAACAAGGUAACCGUAGGGGAACCUGCGGUUGGAUCACCUCCUUACCAAAAAGA
Molecule: ribosomal RNA, 1552 nt
Filed under: Pectobacterium parmentieri
Lineage: Bacteria; Pseudomonadati; Pseudomonadota; Gammaproteobacteria; Enterobacterales; Pectobacteriaceae
Description: bacterial SSU rRNA
Rfam family: Bacterial small subunit ribosomal RNA
Source: RNAcentral